RNAcentral lists this ribosomal RNA (84 nucleotides) under Pseudomonas sp. J237. Lineage: Bacteria; Pseudomonadati; Pseudomonadota; Gammaproteobacteria; Pseudomonadales; Pseudomonadaceae. The record is from RNAcentral.
CUUGACGUCCAUAGAGAAUUGGAACCACCUGAUCCCAUCCCGAACUCAGAAGUGAAACGAUUCAUCGCCGAUGGUAGUGUAGGG